GCAGUCGUGGCUGAGUGGUUAUGGCGAUGGUCUUGAAAAGCUUUGGGUUCUUCCCGCGCAGGUUCGAAUCCUGUCGACUGCG
This is a non-coding RNA of Rhipicephalus microplus (southern cattle tick), 82 nucleotides long. NCBI's taxonomy places the organism in Eukaryota, Metazoa, Arthropoda, Arachnida, Ixodida, Ixodidae. The record is from the annotation of a RefSeq genome assembly.